UGCCUACGGGAGGCAGCAGUGGGGAAUAUUGCACAAUGGGGGAAACCCUGAUGCAGCAACGCCGCGUGAGUGAAGAAGGUUUUCGGAUUGUAAAGCUCUGUUAGCAGGGAAGAGGAAGGACGGUACCUGCAGAGGAAGCCACGGCUAACUCCGUGCCAGCAGUCGCGGUAAUACGGAGGAUGCGAGCGUUAUCCGGAUUUAUUGGGUUUAAAGGGUGCGUAGGCGGACAGUCAAGUCAGCGGUAAAAAUGCGGUGCUCAACGCCGUACAGCCGUUGAAACUGGCAGUCUUGAGUGGGCGAGAAGU
Molecule: ribosomal RNA, 305 nt
Filed under: uncultured bacterium
Lineage: Bacteria
Description: bacterial SSU rRNA
Rfam family: Bacterial small subunit ribosomal RNA
Source: RNAcentral